UACAGAGGGUGCGAGCGUUGUCCGGAAUCACUGGGCGUAAAGGGCGCGUAGGCGGCCCGGUAAGUAGGGGGUGAAAUCUCGCGGCUCAACUGCGAGGCUGCCUCCUAAACUGUCGGGCUCGAGCACAGUAGAGGCAGGUGGAAUUCCCGGUGUAGCGGUGGAAUGCGUAGAGAUCGGGAAGAACAUCGGUGGCGAAGGCGGCCUGCUGGGCUGUUGCUGACGCUGAGGCGCGAAAGCGUGGGGAGCAAACAGG
This 253-nucleotide ribosomal RNA is filed under the name uncultured bacterium. RNAcentral describes it as "partial 16S ribosomal RNA". It matches the Rfam family "Bacterial small subunit ribosomal RNA", at positions 524 to 776 of the family's 1533-position model. The record is from RNAcentral.